This 685-nucleotide ribosomal RNA is filed under the name Palaemonella pottsi. RNAcentral describes it as "SSU rRNA". It matches the Rfam family "Eukaryotic small subunit ribosomal RNA", at positions 1144 to 1804 of the family's 1831-position model. Lineage: Eukaryota; Metazoa; Arthropoda; Malacostraca; Decapoda; Palaemonidae. The record is from RNAcentral.
UUAAAGGAAUUGACGGAAGGGCACCACCAGGAGUGGAGCCUGCGGCUUAAUUUGACUCAACACGGGAAACCUCACCAGGCCCGGACACCAGAAGGAUUGACAGAUUAAGAGCUCUUUCUCGAUUUGGUGGGUGGUGGUGCAUGGCCGUUCUUAGUUGGUGGAGUGAUUUGUCUGGUUAAUUCCGGUAACGAACGAGACUCUGGCCUACUAAAUAGUCGACGGGCGUUUUGGUGCAUGGGCCCCGUUCGACACAGUCUUCUUAGAGGGAUGAGCAGCGAGUAUAGCUGCAGGAGAUUGAGCAAUAACAGGUCUGUGAUGCCCUUAGAUGUCCUGGGCCGCACGCGCGCUACACUGAAUGGGUUAGCGGGUUGUCCUUCUCCGAGAGGAGCGGGAAAUCGCUUGAAAACCAUUCGUGAUAGGGAUUGGGGCUUGCAAUUGUUUCCCAUGAACGAGGAAUUCCCAGUAAGCGCAAGUCAUCAGCUUGCGUUGAUUAAGUCCCUGCCCUUUGUACACACCGCCCGUCGCUACUACCGAUUGAAUGAUUUAGUGAGGCCUUCGGACUGGCGGUCUUGGACUGGGGCGCCGGCGUUCUCCAGCAAUGGGGUGCCGGCGACCCGCCUAGACGGGCCGGAAAGAUGUCCAAACUUGAUCAUUUAGAGGAAGUAAAAGUCGUAACAAGGUUUCC